This 2540-nucleotide long non-coding RNA is filed under the name Mus musculus (house mouse). RNAcentral's name for it is "long non-coding RNA chr11:115564452-115566992". Lineage: Eukaryota; Metazoa; Chordata; Mammalia; Rodentia; Muridae. The record is from RNAcentral.
AGCUGUCUGUGAGCGGGAGGCCUGAGCGCAGAGAAGCGGCCGCGCGGCAGGGUCCCAGCCGCGGGGGGCACGGCGCUAUGGAGGAGCUCGACUGCGAGCCCGCAGUAACUGUAAGGGCGAUCGGAGUGGAGUGGCUUGGCUUGUUGCACUGUGAGGGUUACGUUUCUUUGGUCAUUUCAGGCUGCCUCCCUACAUGCGGGACGCACGCUUCUUCCCUGGACACAGUUGCCACCAUCCCGAAUGUCAGGUUAACUGGGAACUAGGUUAUGGCAAUAGUGGUCCCUAGGUCCUGUGAAUACUGGCCGGCUCGCGGAAACCCCACUGCAUCACCCUUGUUUUUAUAACCUUUCUGCUUCUCUAGUUUUCCCCCCUUGGGCGUUAGAAUGAGAUUGGUGUAAGCCCCACAUGGUCACUCCAAGGGAUGAGUUGGCCUUUCCCUGUCCUGCUGUCCUAGUCCGAGGCUUAAUAAAUGCAUAAUUUGUUCUCACGGGAGACAAUAGACUAGUUUCUGUCGCGUUGUAUUCUAUUCCUCUUGCACCUAGAAAAUGUUUUUUUAAGUGUGUAUAUGUCUGAAUAUGUGCACAGCAUCAUUGGAUACGACCUAGGCUGUUCGCCUGGUGUAUGGUGUUCGCAGUUACACUUGGAAGUUGAAUGGACAGUUGUAGGGCUAACAGCUCCUGUGCCUCCUUAUGUCUUACUAGUGGAUUCCAGGUGUGAAUUCCAAGAAGAAGCAAAUGUGUUUUGACUGGGGCCCCGGCGAGAUGCUUCUGUGUGAAACUUCCUUCAACCAAACAGGUAGGCAGUUCUUUUUCACAUCUGUCUUGGCACAUUGGUUGACUCUCUGAGGCAGGAAACUGGAGUUAUUUGGCAAUAUUUUUAUUUUUGAAACUUUGUUUUUUUGCUAUUUUGAGACAAGUUGCCCCUAUGUAGUCCUAGUGGGCUUGUCUUUGUGCAAUCUUUGUGUAGGUUUGAAUUCUACAUCUUCUUCCCUCGACUUCCAGAGUGCUGGGACUUGAGGUGUGUGGUUCAACACUUGACAUUAAGUAAUUUUUAAAUUUUAUAGUCUGUGUAUGGGCAUUUUGUCUACGUGCAUAACUGUGCACCACUCCGUGCUUGGUGCCGCAGAGGCCAAAUGAGAUCAUUGGAUUCUAGGAACUAGAACUCUAUAUUUAUGUGAGUUGCCAUAUGGGGUGUUGGGAGUUGAACUUAGGUCUUCUGGAAGAGCUGCCUGUGUACUUCUUGUUUGGUUUUGGUUUUUUGAGAUGGUUUCUCCGUGUAGCCUGGCUGUCCUGGUACUUGGUUUAGACCAAGCUGGCUUUGAACUCAGAAAUUACUUGCUCUUUUUUCCUGAGUGUUAGGAUUAAAGGCAGGAAAUUUCAGCCAGUUGUCUUAGACGCCAAACCAUCUCUUCAGCCCCCUUCCUAUAAUUAACCUUUAGAAACGACCCAUAUAGCCCAGGUGUGGAGAUACGCACCUUUUAAUCCCAGCACUCAGGAGACAGAGAGGCAGGUGGUUCUGUGAGUUCACAGCCUGCCUGAUCUACAGAAUGAGUUUUAGGUCAACCAGGGCUACACAGAGAAAUCUUGUCUUGAGAAACCCAACAAAAACAAGCCCAAAGAAGUGAGUUAGACUGCCUCAGCUGAAGGCAAAGUCCUGGGUUCAGGCAACGCUCGCUUGCAACCUUAGAUUUUCUACUGUGCAGAAGAGUUGGCGGGGGGAAUAGAGAGUCCCCAGCUGCCUGGGAUAUGUUGCCAGACCCAUUCUCAAAAACCAAGGAUGUAGGCUAUCACUCAGUGGCUCAGUGAUAACUUCUUUAGCAUGGGCAGUGUCCUUAAUUAGAUCAUCAAUAUCACCAAAAAAGAAGUCUGUGUUGUGCUGCCUGCUUGUAUUGUAAUCUCAGCCUACACAGACCAGAUGAAGACAAAUCUUUUUUUCUUUUGGCGUAAACCUGGUUUGCUUGGCCGACUGUGUGCACUAGUCUUCCCUUGAGUUUUAAUCCUCCCGUCUCAUUCCCACCGGUGGAGAAAGUGGACAUGUGCCCCAGGCUCAGCCGGGCUUUGUAAUUAGAGAAUUAGAAGUACUGGGAUGUUUUUCUCUUUUGGGGAAAAUGGUAGAUGUUGAGUUACUUUUUUUCCUGUUUUGUUACAGGCAAAUCAGAGAAGGUGCCGAGCUGCCCUUUUAUCUACAUCAUACGGAAAGAUGUGGAUGUUUACUCUCAAAUUUUGAGAAAACUCUUCAAUGAAUCCCAUGGAAUCUUUGUUGGCCUGCAAAAAAUUGAGGAAGAACUGUCGGGGAAGUCCAGGAAAGCUCAGUAAGUGGUGGGUGCUGAGGCUGCAGUGAAGUCGUGAGAGGGAGGCGUCCUUAUCCUUGUGAGUGCCGGGGCACCUCGGGGUUCCUGUUCUCCUGUGUAUCUUCUUAGGGUGUAGUUGUGCAUUGUGUAAAUGCUGUUGGAAGACUUACUGGCUUGAUAUAUAUGUAUCAACUCUUCCUUUUGGAUUCCUACUUCAUUUGUAUGUGUCCCUUGAACACCACCACCGACC